UACGUAGGGUGCGAGCGUUGUCCGGAAUUAUUGGGCGUAAAGGGCUCGUAGUCGGUUUGUCGCGUCGGGAGUGAAAACCUCGGGCUUAACUCGGGGCUUGCUUUCGAUACGGGCAGACUGGAGGUAUGCAGGGGAGAACGGAAUUCCUGGUGUAGCGGUGAAAUGCGCAGAUAUCAGGAGGAACACCGGUGGCGAAGGCGGUUCUCUGGGCAUUACCUGACGCUGAGGAGCGAAGGUGUGGGGAGCAAACAGG
Molecule: ribosomal RNA, 253 nt
Filed under: uncultured bacterium
Lineage: Bacteria
Description: partial 16S ribosomal RNA
Rfam family: Bacterial small subunit ribosomal RNA
Source: RNAcentral